UUCCAAAGUGUUGAGUUCAGUUCAGGGCAGCUUCCCUGUUCUGUUAAUUAAGCUUUGGGACAUUGAAACAUGGACUAGGGUUGGUGAUUGGACAAAAGCAUUACUCUUUAUUCAUUGACCUCCCAGCCUACAAAA
Molecule: small nucleolar RNA, 135 nt
Organism: Manis pentadactyla (Chinese pangolin)
Lineage: Eukaryota; Metazoa; Chordata; Mammalia; Pholidota; Manidae
Source: RefSeq, a predicted model, not a curated record